Molecule: long non-coding RNA, 359 nt
Organism: Peromyscus eremicus (cactus mouse)
Lineage: Eukaryota; Metazoa; Chordata; Mammalia; Rodentia; Cricetidae
Exons: 3
Source: RefSeq, a predicted model, not a curated record
CUCACCCCGCCUCCCGCUUCCCCGGCGCUAGCCUCCGCCGGCGGAGCCCACUAUGCCAGACACUUUCGACACUUUGCAAAGACAAAGAGCCCUAGACCGGAGGGAGGAGAGAGGAGGAGGCAGAAGAGGAGGUAUAAGAGGACCCGGAGGUGUGAGCUGGCUGGGACUUGACUUUGAUGAACUGAAAAUGCCUUCAAGAAGGAACUGGCACCUGCCGGGGCUGUGCUGAGAACGGAGCAGAGCUGUGCAGCCGGACAUUUGUAUCUGUGAGCCAGAGGCAGACAGUGGCUCAGCCUCCUGAGAUGAAGACACUGGGACUCAGAGAGGAAAGGAACUCCUCUGAUGUGGUGGCACAGCAG